GUAGAUAUAGUUUAACUAAAACACUAGAUUGUGAUUCUAAAAAUAGAAGUUAAAAUCUUCUCAUCCACC
This 69-nucleotide transfer RNA is filed under the name Odontobutis haifengensis. Its description in RNAcentral is "tRNA-His". It matches the Rfam family "tRNA". From Rfam's summary of the family: Transfer RNA (tRNA) molecules are approximately 80 nucleotides in length. Their secondary structure includes four short double-helical elements and three loops (D, anti-codon, and T loops). Further hydrogen bonds mediate the characteristic L-shaped molecular structure. tRNAs have two regions of fundamental functional importance: the anti-codon, which is responsible for specific mRNA codon recognition, and the 3' end, to which the tRNAs corresponding amino acid is attached (by aminoacyl-tRNA synthetases). tRNAs cope with the degeneracy of the genetic code in two manners: having more than one tRNA (with a specific anti-codon) for a particular amino acid; and 'wobble' base-pairing, i.e. permitting non-standard base-pairing at the 3rd anti-codon position. The record is from RNAcentral. Lineage: Eukaryota; Metazoa; Chordata; Actinopteri; Gobiiformes; Odontobutidae.